ACCAAAGCUGAACAUGGACGUGACCAUCCAGCACCCCUGGUUCAAGCGCGCUCUGGGGCCCUUCUACCCCAGCCGGCUGUUCGACCAGUUUUUCGGCGAGGGCCUUUUUGAGUAUGACCUGCUGCCCUUCCUGUCGUCCCCAUCAGCCCCUACUACCGCCAUCCCCCUUCCGCCACCGGUGCUGGACUCCGGCAUCUCUGACUCAUGGCUCAUGUGUGCUUUGUAAGGCACCAGCCACAUACUGGAAACCCCAAGAGCAGCCCAUCCAGGUUCGAUCCGACCGGGACAAGUUCGUCAUCUUCCUCGAUGUGAAGCACUUCUCCCCGGAGGACCUCACCGUGAAGGUGCAGGACGACUUUGUGGAGAUCCACGGAAAGCACAAUGAGCGCCAGGAUGACCACGGCUACAUCUCCCGUGAGUUCCACCGCCGCUACCGCCUGCCGUCCAACGUGGACCAGUCGGCCCUCUCUUGCUCCCUGUCCGCCGAUGGCAUGCUGACCUUCUGUGGCCCCAAGAUCCAGACUGGCCUGGAUGCCACCCACGGCGAGCGAGCCAUCCCUGUGUCGCGGGAGGAGAAGCCCACCUCGGCUCCCUCGUCCUAAGCAGGCAUCGCCUCGGCUGGCUCCCCUGCAGCCCCGGCCCAUCAUGGGGGGAGCACCCUGAGGGCGGGGUGUCUGUCUUCCUUUGCUUCCCUGUUUUUCCUUUCCACCUUCUCACAUGGAAUGAGGGUUUGAGAGAGCAGCCAGGAGAGCUCAGGGUCUCAGGGUGUCCCAGACCCCGACACCGGCCAGUGGCGGAAGUGACCGCACCUCACACUCCUUUAGAUAGCAGCCUGGCUCCCCUGGGGUGCAGGCGCCUCAACUCUGCUGAGGGUCCAGAAGGAGGGGGUGACCUCCGGCCAGGUGCUUCCGGACACACCUGCAGCCUCCCUCCGCGGCGGGCCCUGCCCACACCUCCCGGGGCGCGUGAGGCCCGUGGGGCCGGGGCUUCUGUGCGCCUGGGCUCUCGCGGCCUCUUCUCUCAGACCGUCUUCCUCCAACCCCUCUAUGUAGUGCCGCUCUUGGGGACAUGGAUCGCCCAUGAGAGCGCAGCCCGCGGCAAUCAAUAAAGAGCAGGUGAUACAAGCAA
RNAcentral lists this small RNA (1128 nucleotides) under Pongo abelii (Sumatran orangutan). Its description in RNAcentral is "processed transcript". The record is from RNAcentral. Lineage: Eukaryota; Metazoa; Chordata; Mammalia; Primates; Hominidae.